UAGCAUUUACCACUUCAUGCACCUGUAAUAGUCAACAGUAAAACUUCAUAUCUGACUGAUGGAUUCCAUGUGGACAAGUAGGCAUCUGACCAAAAUAACCACAAAGGCAGUGGUCGCCAUUGAAAGGGCACUUUCUUAGCCUGUACAUGCAGAACAGUGCCCUUCAGUCUUCCAAAUCAAGAGAAGUUUUGAGGUAAAACUAUGU
This 205-nucleotide long non-coding RNA is filed under the name Elaeis guineensis (African oil palm). RNAcentral describes it as "long non-coding RNA (EGUI_LNC076350)". Lineage: Eukaryota; Viridiplantae; Streptophyta; Magnoliopsida; Arecales; Arecaceae. The record is from RNAcentral.